Molecule: ribosomal RNA, 465 nt
Filed under: uncultured bacterium
Lineage: Bacteria
Description: partial 16S ribosomal RNA
Rfam family: Bacterial small subunit ribosomal RNA
Source: RNAcentral
CCUACGUGAGGCAGCAGUGGGGAAUAUUGCGCAAUGGGCGAAAGCCUGACGCAGCGACGCCGCGUGAGGGAUGAAGGUCUUCGGAUCGUAAACCUCUGUCAGCAGGGAAGAACGGUCACUGUGCUAAUCAGCAGUGAAUUGACGGUACCUGCAAAGGAAGCACCGGCUAACUCCGUGCCAGCAGCCGCGGUAAUACGGAGGGUGCGAGCGUUAAUCGGAAUUACUGGGCGUAAAGCGCUCGUAGGCGGUAUGUCAAGUCAAGGGUGAAAUCCCCGCGCUCAACGUGGGAACUGCCUUUGAAACUGGAAAACUGGAGUGUGUGAGAGGAUAGUGGAAUUCCAGGUGUAGGAGUGAAAUCCGUAGAGAUCUGGAGGAACAUCAGUGGCGAAGGCGACUAUCUGGCACAUAACUGACGCUGAGGAGCGAAAGCGUGGGUAGCAAACAGGAUUAGAUACCCCGGUAGUC